CACCUACGGGUGGCAGCAGUUAGGAAUUUUGCGCAAUGGGGGAAACCCUGACGCAGCAACGCCGCGUGAAGGAUGAAGGCCUUCGGGUUGUAAACUUCUUUCGACAGGGAAAAAACAAAUGAUGGUACCUGGAGAAGAAGCACCGGCUAACUACGUGCCAGCAGCCGCGGUAAUACGUAGGGUGCAAGCGUUACUCGGAUUUAUUGGGCGUAAAGCGCAUGUAGGUGGUUUUAUAAGUCUGAUGUGAAAGCCCUGGACUCAAUUCAGGAACUGCAUUGGAUACUGUAAGACUAGAGUAUGGGAGAGGUAGGCGGAAUUCUUGGUGUAGAGGUGAAAUUCGUAGAUAUCAAGAGGAACAACAGAAGCGAAGGCGGCUUACUGGACCAUAACUGACACUGAGAUGCGACAGUGUGGGGAGCAAACAGGAUUAGAUACCCUGGUAGUCCACACCGUAAACGAUGGAUACUAGAUGUCGGGAGUUCUUACCCUCUCGGUGUCGUAGCUAACGCGUUA
This 513-nucleotide ribosomal RNA is filed under the name uncultured bacterium. RNAcentral's name for it is "bacterial SSU rRNA". It matches the Rfam family "Bacterial small subunit ribosomal RNA", at positions 335 to 862 of the family's 1533-position model. The record is from RNAcentral.